This 494-nucleotide ribosomal RNA is filed under the name uncultured bacterium. Its description in RNAcentral is "bacterial SSU rRNA". It matches the Rfam family "Bacterial small subunit ribosomal RNA", at positions 37 to 507 of the family's 1533-position model. The record is from RNAcentral.
UGGCGGCGUGCUUAACACNUGCAAGGUCGAACGGGGCGAAGUGAUAGCUUGCUAUUAUGGAGCCUAGUGGCAAACGGGUGAGUAACGCGUAGGCAACCUGCCCUUCAGAUGGGGACAACACCUCGAAAGGGGUGCUAAUACCGAAUGACGUUUCCUGGUCGCAUGACCUGAAAACCAAAGGCCGGGCAACCGGUCACUGAAGGAUGGGCCUGCGUCUGAUUAGCUAGUUGGUGGGGUAACGGCCCACCAAGGCGACGAUCAGUAGCCGGUCUGAGAGGAUGAACGGCCACAUUGGGACUGAGACACGGCCCAAACUCCUACGGGAGGCAGCAGUGGGGAAUCUUCCGCAAUGGGCGCAAGCCUGACGGAGCAACGCCGCGUGAACGAUGACGGCCUUCGGGUCGUAAAGCUCUGUUGAAGGGGACGAAUGUUGCGCUUAUCAACAACGAGCGCAAAUGACGGUACCUUUCGAGGAAGCCACGGCUAACUACGUG